AGAGUUUGAAAAGGAUGAGGACGAACGCUGGCGGCGUGCCUAAUACAUGCAAGUAGAGCGGACGAAUCGAAAGCUUGCUUUUGAGUCGUUAGCGGCGGACGGGUGAGUAACACGUGGGCAACCUGCCCUCCUCGACGGGGAUAACACCGAGAAAUCGGUGCUAAUACCGGAUAACACGAAAUGUCGCAUGACGUUUCGUUGAAAGACGGCGCAAGCUGUCGCUACAGGAUGGGCCCGCGGCGCAUUAGCUAGUUGGUGAGGUAACGGCUCACCAAGGCGACGAUGCGUAGCCGACCUGAGAGGGUGAUCGGCCACACUGGGACUGAGACACGGCCCAGACUCCUACGGGAGGCAGCAGUAGGGAUUCUUCUGCAAUGGACGAAAGUCUGACGGAGCAACGCCGCGUGAGCGAAGAAGGCCUUCGGGUCGUAAAGCUCUGUUGUUAGGGAAGAACAAGUAACGCAGUAACUGGCGUUACCGUGACGGUACCUAACGAGAAAGCCACGGCUAACUACGUGCCAGCAGCCGCGGUAAUACGUAGGUGGCAAGCGUUGUCCGGAAUUAUUGGGCGUAAAGCGCGCGCAGGGGGGUUCCUUAAGUCUGAUGUGAAAGCCCACGGCUCAACCGUGGAGGGUCAUUGGAAACUGGGGGACUUGAGUGCAGAAGAGGAGAGCGGAAUUCCACGUGUAGCGGUGAAAUGCGUAGAGAUGUGGAGGAACACCAGUGGCGAGGCGGCUCUCUGGUCUGUAACUGACGCUGAGGCGCGAAAGCGUGGGGAGCAAACAGGAUUAGAUACCCUG
This 800-nucleotide ribosomal RNA is filed under the name uncultured bacterium. RNAcentral's name for it is "bacterial SSU rRNA". It matches the Rfam family "Bacterial small subunit ribosomal RNA", at positions 1 to 789 of the family's 1533-position model. The record is from RNAcentral.